GCUGUUAAAAGUAAAGGUCAGUGAAGAUGGCAGCAGCACAGAAGAGAGAUUGCAGUAUGAAGGUCUCCUUGCUAUGUCAAUGAAUAUGUAUCUGGAGAUGUUUCCCCAGGCCUCUGCUGAAAUUGAGUACCUCAUGACCCAGAUGGACUUUCCCAAUAACCAAAUGCCAAAUAAAAAAAUAACUAAAUAAAAAAAAAAAAAACUCCUUUGACAAAGAACAUCAAAGAACAUGCCAAGAAAAUCAAAUGGAAACCUACUUUGUCAGACCACCUCAAAAUAUCAGAAGAAAAGCUUUCCUCAGACUAUCUCCAACAGAACUUGAAGAAUUUACCACUACAAGUAAAUUUAACAGAAAAUCCUAUGGACUUUAAACAAAAAAAAGCAAAAAGAGGGUAUGUAAAGAAAUAUCUGAAGUUUUUUUUUCACAAUGCAAUGAAUAAAAACAGCAUCCAUGUUUUA
Protopterus annectens (West African lungfish) is the source of this 459-nucleotide long non-coding RNA. RefSeq lists it as uncharacterized. The record is from RefSeq and is a predicted model, not a curated record. The transcript has 2 exons. NCBI's taxonomy places the organism in Eukaryota, Metazoa, Chordata, Ceratodontiformes, Protopteridae.